RNAcentral lists this non-coding RNA (48 nucleotides) under Syntrophotalea carbinolica DSM 2380. RNAcentral describes it as "Moco-II RNA". It matches the Rfam family "Moco-II RNA". The record is from RNAcentral. Lineage: Bacteria; Pseudomonadati; Thermodesulfobacteriota; Desulfuromonadia; Desulfuromonadales; Syntrophotaleaceae.
UGCGCUAAUUUCGGCCUCUGCCCAGAGUGCAGACCCAACGAAACCCGC